UACGUAGGGUGCAAGCGUUAAUCGGAAUUACUGGGCGUAAAGCGUGCGCAGGCGGUGAUGUAAGACAGUUGUGAAAUCCCCGGGCUCAACCUGGGAACUGCAUCUGUGACUGCAUCGCUGGAGUGCGGCAGAGGGGGAUGGAAUUCCGCGUGUAGCAGUGAAAUGCGUAGAUAUGCGGAGGAACACCGAUGGCGAAGGCAAUCCCCUGGGCCUGCACUGACGCUCCAUGCACGAAAGCGUGGGGAGCAAACAGG
This 254-nucleotide ribosomal RNA is filed under the name uncultured bacterium. Its description in RNAcentral is "partial 16S ribosomal RNA". It matches the Rfam family "Bacterial small subunit ribosomal RNA", at positions 524 to 776 of the family's 1533-position model. The record is from RNAcentral.